Long non-coding RNA from Helianthus annuus (common sunflower), 138 nucleotides. RefSeq lists it as uncharacterized. The transcript is spliced from 3 exons. The record is from RefSeq and is a predicted model, not a curated record. NCBI's taxonomy places the organism in Eukaryota, Viridiplantae, Streptophyta, Magnoliopsida, Asterales, Asteraceae.
CUAAACGGCCACCAACUACAUUCUUUUUGUUCAUGGAGGACUUUAGGAAAACAUAUAAGGAAGCAAAUCCAGACAAUAAGAAAGUUUCAUUGGUUGCUAAGGAGGGUGGUGAAAAAUGGAAGUCAAUGACUGAAGAAG